This is a long non-coding RNA of Equus caballus (horse), 1738 nucleotides long. The record is from Ensembl. NCBI's taxonomy places the organism in Eukaryota, Metazoa, Chordata, Mammalia, Perissodactyla, Equidae.
GUUAAGAUGGUGACUUUCUCUUGUUAUUUAAACAUUCUUUGUAGAGAAAAUUAAAUUUUUAAAAAAAUAUAUAUUUUUUUUAACACCUUGGCAAUAGGACACUCUGUGCCAAGUGAAUUGAUGGCAAUUGUUAGCCUAGUUUUUGGGGAAAAGAGUUGACACUGGAGACAAAUUAGAAACAGGUAAUGAAUAGGGGAAAGUCUUGUCCUGAUGUAGGUACCAUUCGAUGGACUGUUCCUUCAUAGGGAUAACACUUUAAUUUUAACUGCAAUUUGCUUUCCUUGUACAGCGUUUUCUCUUUUUGCUUAACACAAUGACUAGAGAGACACCAUUCCUUGCCAAAGGCUGUCUAGAUCUUCUAAAACUCUUCUGCUGAUGGAACAUCUUAUUUGCCUGAAGCCAGAAAGUUGGGCCAAAUGGUUUCUUGGAUUCUCUUUCAGCUCUAGUCUUGGGGCUCUGCCAUUCCCUAGAGCAGGGGUUGGCAAACUUUUUCUGUAGAGGGCCAGCUAGUAAAUAUUCUAGGCUUUCUAGGCUCUAUAGUGUCUUGUCAUAAGUACGCAACUCUGUAGCAUGAAACAGCCAUAGACCAUUAGCCCAUAGGCUCUUUGUGGACCUCUGCCCUAGGCCGUCAGAGACCUUUCCUGGAUCUAUGCUUCUGGCCCACAAAGGAAGAGAGAAUGUGUCUCUAUCCCGUAUCCAUCUAAAAGAACAUAUGGGAAGGCCACAUUCCUAAUCUGAUCUUUGCCGCUGGGCUGAGUCUUGUGUUUAACUGAGGAAUAUCACUGGCUCUAAUACUCAAAGCCUUAUCUCUUAUUAUUUGGUAAUCUCAAAGGUAUCAGCUAUCCUAACAUUUCAUUGCCCCAGGUUUCUUGACUGUUCCCUUUCAUUUCAGCUUGCAGACCAGCCAACUCCAUCCUGAACUCAUCUCUUUCCUAUAAAACAUUACCAAAGACAGCUAAUAGUAGCCAGCAGGCACCAGCACUCAAAUUAUUCCCAACCGCUUCCUCAGAGCCCUGGUUCAGUAAACACACGGUCUUCUUUAAGUUACUGCAGGUGACCAUUUUUCAGUGUCUUGCUACUUUAUAGCCUAGUAUCCAUCAUUCAGCUACUACCAUGUUUCCUUACCAUUCGCCAACUCACUCGUGUAUUUUAGAUUUAUGCUAUGGCAGCACCCAACUUAGAGGUACCAGUCUCUGAAUUGUAAUAAAGGCACCAAUAUUUCAGUGGUUUUAAAUAAUAAAAAAAUUAUUUUUUGACCUGAAACAGUCCAACACAGGUGUCUGUGGUUGGGUGGGUCUCCUGGGUAGCUUUAUUCCACAUGGCAACUUAGGAACCCAGGAUGCUUCCAGUCUAGGGGCUUCACCAAUCUCCAGGGUCUUGGAGUUCACCAGAUCUCCACAUCCAGCCACUAGACCCAUGAUUGCCUCUUGUUCCGUUGGCCAGAACUCAGUUAUAUGGCUCCACCUAACAGCAGAGGAGACUGGGAAAUACAGCCUAGCUGCGUGCCCAGAAGAAAAAAAAAGAUACUGGCAAAUGAACAGCAUUCUCUCUGAACAGUGGUUUAUGUGGUACAAUUUUCUUGAUUGCAGGCAGUCAUGGGGUUACCAGGCCUAUACGAAAGUGAUCCUUCUCUCCCGGUCUUUCAGCUUCUAUGUUCUGAUCAUGAGAGAAAAGGGAGAAGCUGAGAGUUGCAGGGAGAAGCAGAAGCUGCAAGAAACAGACACAGUGAAGCAGAGAG